Molecule: ribosomal RNA, 484 nt
Filed under: uncultured bacterium
Lineage: Bacteria
Description: partial 16S ribosomal RNA
Rfam family: Bacterial small subunit ribosomal RNA
Source: RNAcentral
AUUGAACGCUGGCGGCAGGCCUAACACAUGCAAGUCGAGCUGAUGAAGGGAGCUUGCUCCUGGAUUCAGCGGCGGACGGGUGAGUAAUGCCUAGGAAUCUGCCUGGUAGUGGGGGAUAACGUCCGGAAACGGGCGCUAAUACCGCAUACGUCCUGAGGGAGAAAGUGGGGGUUCUUCGGACCUCACGCUAUCAGAUGAGCCUAGGUCGGAUUAGCUAGUUGGUGGGGUAAAGGCCUACCAAGGCGACGAUCCGUAACUGGUCUGAGAGGAUGAUCAGUCACACUGGAACUGAGACACGGUCCAGACUCCUACGGGAGGCAGCAGUGGGGAAUAUUGGACAAUGGGCGAAAGCCUGAUCCAGCCAUGCCGCGUGUGUGAAGAAGGUCUUCGGAUUGUAAAGCACUUUAAGUUGGGAGGAAGGGCAGUAAGUUAAUACCUUGCUGUUUUGACGUUACCAACAGAAUAAGCACCGGCUAACUUCGUG